UGGACACCCCAAUUCAAUCUCUAUUUGGACACCCCAAUUCCUUCUAUAUGGGCACCUCAAUUCUUUCCCUAUAUGGACACCCCGAUUCUUCCCAUAUGGGUACCCCAAAUCCUUCCCUAUAGGGACACUCCUAUUCCCCUUAUACAGACACCCCAAUUCCUCCUAUAUGGGCACCUCAAUUCUGUCCCUAUAUGGGCACCCCAAUUCUGUCCCUAUAUGGACACCCCAAUUCCUUCCCUAUAUGGGCACCCCAAUCCCUUCCCUAUAGAAACACCCCAAUUCCUUCCCUAUAUGGAUAUUCCAAUCCCUUCCCUAUAGAAACACCCCAAUUCCUCCUAUAUGGGCACCCCAAUUCCUCCUAUAUGGACACCCCGAUUCUUCCUAUAUGGGCACCCCAAUUCUGUCCCUAUAUGAACACUCUAACCCCUUCCCCAUAGGGGCACCCCAAUCCCUUCCCUAUAGAAACACCCCAAUUCCUUCUAUAUGGACACCCCAAUCCCAUCCCUAUAUGGACACCCAAAUUCCAGUUCCACAUGCACCCCACUCCUCUUCUUGCACCCCAAACCCCUCUGGGGGUGUCUGCCCCCAUUGUGGGCGUUCCCCAAGUCCCCAGGGAUUUAUCAGAGGCCCAGGGCAUUGCACAGGACACCCACAGGGGCACAGUGGGCACCCAGGACAUUGCACAGCACACCCCAAUUCCUGCUCCACGUGCUCCCCACUCCUCUCUCUGCACCCCAAAUUUCUCUGGGGGUGUCUGCCCCCAUUGUGGGAGCAUCCCAAGUCCCCCAAACCCUUAUCAGAGGCCCAGGGCAUUGCACAGGACACCCACAGGGGCAUGGUGGGAACUCAGGGUGUUGCACAGGACACCCCAAUUCCUGCUCCACGUGCACCCCACUCCUCCCUCUGCACCCCAAAUUUCUCUGGGGGUGUCUGCCCCCAUUGUGGGAGUACCCCAAGUCCCCAGGGCAUUUAUCAGAGGCCCAGGGCAUUACACAGGACACCCACAGGGGCAUGGUGGGAACUCAGGACAUUGCACAGGACACCCCAAAUCCUGCUCCACAUGCACCCCACUCCUCCCUCUGCACCCCAAAUUUCUCUGGGGGUGUCUGCCCCCAUUGUGGGGGUUCCCCAAGUCCCCCAAAUAUCCAGGGUAUUUAUCAGAGGCCCAGGGCAUUGCACAGGACACCCACAGGGGCACAGUGGGCACUCAGGACAUUGCACAGCACACCCCAAUUCCUGCUCCACGUGCCCCCACUCCUCCCUCUGCACCCCAAAUUUCUCUGGGGGUGUCUGCCCCCAUUGUGGGCGUUCCCCAAACCCUUAUCAGAGGCCCAGGGCAUUGCACAGGACACCCACAGGGGCACAGUGGGCACCCAGGAUGUUGCACAGGACACCCCAAUUCCUGCUCCACAUGCCCUCACUCCUCCCUCUGCACCCCAAAUUUCUCUGGGGGUGUCUGCCCCCAUUGUGGGAGUACCACAAGUCCCCAGGGCAUUUAUCAGAGGCCCAGGGCAUUGCACAGGACACCCACAGGGGCAUGGUGGCCACCAAGGAUGUUGCACAGGACACCCCAAUUCCUGCUCCAUGUGCACCCCACUCCUCCCUCUGCCCACCCCAAGCCCCCCAUACCCUCAUGAGGGGAACGGUGGGCACUCAGGACAUUGCACAGCACACCCCAAUUCCUGCUCCACAUGCACCCCACUCCUCCCUCUGCACCCCAAAUUUCUCUGGGGGUGUCUGCCCCCAUUAUGGGGGUUCCCCAAGUCCCCCAAACCCUUGUCAGAGGCCCAGGACAUCACACAGGGGCAUGGUGGGCACGCAGGGCAUUGUACAGGACACCCUAAAUCCACUUUCACGUGCACUCCACUCCUCCCUCUGCACCCCAAAUUUCUCUGGGGGUGUCUGCCCACAUUGUGGGAGUACCCCAAGUCCCCAGGGCAUUUAUCAGAGGCCCAGGGCAUUGCACAGGACACCCACAGGGGCACAGUGG
RNAcentral lists this long non-coding RNA (1990 nucleotides) under Zonotrichia albicollis (white-throated sparrow). RNAcentral describes it as "lncRNA (ENSZALG00000001966.1)". Lineage: Eukaryota; Metazoa; Chordata; Aves; Passeriformes; Passerellidae. The record is from RNAcentral.